Molecule: long non-coding RNA, 204 nt
Filed under: Lathyrus oleraceus (garden pea)
Lineage: Eukaryota; Viridiplantae; Streptophyta; Magnoliopsida; Fabales; Fabaceae
Description: Pisum sativum (pea) long non-coding RNA (PSAT_LNC006831)
Source: RNAcentral
AGCAAUGAGCCUCAGCGCCUAUCCCACUGCCAUUUUCUCUUUGGGCCCAAUCCGGGAUAUACACUCGUGCUGAGCAUGAAUCAGAAUAGCUUGGGUCUACUCAACGCCCUAGCCCACCAAAAUAUUUUUCACACCUUUACUUCAACCUUCAUACCCCUUGUUUUUCUUAUCUUUUUUUUCAUUCUUUUUUUUAAUAUCUUAUUU